This is a long non-coding RNA of Equus caballus (horse), 2342 nucleotides long. RefSeq lists it as uncharacterized. The record is from RefSeq and is a predicted model, not a curated record. NCBI's taxonomy places the organism in Eukaryota, Metazoa, Chordata, Mammalia, Perissodactyla, Equidae.
GAAACACUGCAAAAAUGACUUCAGCUGCCAAAAAUAAUAAUGUCGUUUACAAGCAGCUCUUCCUAUGUCUAAGGAAGAACUAGCCACACAUGUGAGAUUAUGCUGGCUUCAGAGGAGCAAGCAAGAAAAAGGGCAAACCCUACCUACCCCACCCUAAAAACACAGUAUCAGAACCCACGAGAAGCUGUGGCCCCUUCCAAAGGUGCUGGCAAUAUCGAGGGAGAUUCGUAUCCACAAAAAUCUGAACGAGAACAAGCUUGAAGCCUGAAAUUGCAGCAGCCAUUUGGUGACCGGGAGGGGACAAAGGCCUGUGUGGUAAGGAAGGUGGAGGAGACAGACAGAAGAACUUCAGUUCCUGUCAGCGUCACUCAGUUGCUGUAGCCGUCUUGAACUGCCCACCUCUGGACUUGUCAUAUUACAUGAUCUGAUGCUUCAGAGUCAUCACUGGAAAUUUGGAUCUAACGGAGCUGGAGGUAUCCAGGGAAAUGAUCUUGGGUAAAUCCAUCUCACUUUUGCUUUCUUCACAGGGUUUGAUUUGGCCCUUCUGUGUCAUUGCAAAUGACAGGCCUUCUUGCCUCCACUUCUUUCCAAACUCGUGUCAUGAUCUGCAAGAAAUAUAUAUUUUUUCACAAAGAGAUUGUUUAAGCUUCUACUUAUGAGUGCUUGAACAAUAGAAUAGAAAGUCCCAAUUGGUCCCAAAUUCUUCCUGGGUUCCAAGCUGUCUAGCCCAUCAUAGGUGCCCAGUGAUACUCCUUUAUCUUUAUGUGUCAUGCAAAGACUUCCCUCCAGGAGGAAGCAAGAAGGGUGGGGAUAGUAAUUUAUAAUUAUUUAAGAAUUAAGUUCAUUUAAAAAACAAAGCAAGACAAAACAGUAGUCAAUUAUUUUCAUUCUCUAUUGGAACAGGACAUUUUUCUUUUUAAGUGGAUUAAAGUAUUCUUGACUUCAGCAGCAGAGCCUAUUCUGUCCUUCGUAGUCUGUUUGUAGUUCCUAAUAGAAUAUUCUAUUCCUAAAUAAAUAAAUUCGUAACAAACUAUUUGUGAACCGAUAUUUCCUUUAACCCUCUCAGAUUUUGCAGUUAUUAAGAUUACUUGUCACCAGAUACUGACUAUAAAAAAUAAAUCAAGACUUAAAAGGCUUUACUAAUUAUAAUAGCUUAUCAUUUAAAGUCUAUUCCAUCUUCCUACGUGGUCGGCCUAGUCAGGUGUGAUCAUGUCCAUAGGCUUAUCUCUAAACAACAGGCAGAGAAGAGACAUUAAUGCUAAGAUACAGUACAACGAAGAAGCUUUUUUUCAGUUCCAGUAGGCAGAGCUUGAAGGGAGAAGAUGAAAUAACCGUAAGCAAUUUCAGGGUGUUUGGAUUGGAAUUGUUGGACAACCGAGUGGAGAGAAAAAGUUGGAAUGGCAUACCAUUCUCUCUCAACACCUUAGUCAGACCGUAGGGAACUUUUUUUUUUAGCUAGGGGAAGGGUGGGGGUGAUUUAAAGGCCCUGAUGAAUGAGAAGGCAUCCUGUCAGGCUAGUCGGAACCAGAUCGAGGAAGGGCAGCAAGGUUAGUACUAACUUGGGAGAAUUUAGUGGUGAUGAUGAGGCUGAAAAGGCAGGGAAGCAUUUAUCCAAACACACCUGGCUAUGGGUCUCAAAGAAAAACCAAGAGCCUUUGCAAAAAUUGCAUGUUACUAAACAUUUCUUUGGAACUAACCAUGUCUGGAGACUCAUUAUAGCUGUCUAAGCCCAUAAAUUAUUACGUAUGUCACCUACGCUAUUCAUGAAUACAGGAAAAAGGCACGGCAAGCAUUUAAAAAAAUGCACAGAGAUAUAUCUUUUUAAAAACCAGAGCUUAUCUUAUUUAAGAUAGUUUAGGACUAUCUACAAGCUCCUUUAAUGAGACUGCUUUCUGAAGGAAACGCGUCCAGGAGAUCACUCAGCUUUUCUUCAGUCUUCUCAUCCUGCAAGUAAAAUUUUAACUAUGAUGGAGGGAGAGAAUCUCUGGCCCAAAAAACUCAAGAAAUUUCUUAUCCACAGAUAGAGGUCAAUGGAAACUACAGCUCUUCAAUGGCGGCAUUAGUCAUUGAGAUUGGUUUUUAGCUUGUUAGAGAGUCAAAUGACACUGGUAGGUGUAAUAAGAUGUUUCCAAGUAUUCCUGUGCUUGGCAAUUGCUUCAAGGACAUGAAGAGGUGAAUCUUAGAGCAAUGUGUUCUGAUCAAGAAACAGCUGGAAAUGGUGGGAACCUGAUAUGGAACCAUCAGGAACUGAAGGUUUAUUUUGAAUGAGAGGUGUUUUCCAACUGUGAGACUGAGUGACUGCAGCUGAGAAUAAGUGCAAACACAAUCAACAGAGACUCUAG